UACGUAGGGUGCAAGCGUUGUCCGGAAUUAUUGGGCGUAAAGAGCUCGUAGGCGGUCUGUCGCGUCUGCUGUGAAAACUCGGGGCUUAACCCCGGGCCUGCAGUGGGUACGGGCAGACUAGAGUGCGGUAGGGGAGACUGGAAUUCCUGGUGUAGCGGUGAAAUGCGCAGAUAUCAGGAGGAACACCAAUUGCGAAGGCAGCUCGCUGGGACGUAACUGACGCUGAGACGCGAAAGCGUGGGGAGCAAACAGG
RNAcentral lists this ribosomal RNA (253 nucleotides) under uncultured bacterium. Its description in RNAcentral is "partial 16S ribosomal RNA". It matches the Rfam family "Bacterial small subunit ribosomal RNA", at positions 524 to 776 of the family's 1533-position model. The record is from RNAcentral.